RNAcentral lists this ribosomal RNA (253 nucleotides) under uncultured bacterium. Its description in RNAcentral is "partial 16S ribosomal RNA". It matches the Rfam family "Bacterial small subunit ribosomal RNA", at positions 524 to 776 of the family's 1533-position model. The record is from RNAcentral.
GACAGAGGUGCCAAGCGUUAGGCGGAAUCACUGGGCUUAAAGCGUGUGUAGGCGGGCGAUCAAGUACCUUGUGAAAUCCCACGGCUCAACCGUGGAACUGCUGGGUAUACUGGUUGUCUUGAGCCAGCUAGGGGCGAGUGGAAUUCCGGGUGUAGUGGUGAAAUGCGUAGAGAUCCGGAGGAACACCAGUGGCGAAGGCGGCUCGCUGGGCUUUUUCUGACGCUGAGGCGCGAAAGCGUGGGGAGCGAACCGG